CAGAGUGAGAUGCAGAGGAUCCAUCCCUGCCUGCAGUGAAGAGGUUUCACUCCAGAGGAGGCUCUGCUGCCGCUGAGCCCCAGCCUGCCCAGCCCUGGCCUUCCCAGCACACACGUUCCAUCUACAGCAGGAGUGGGCACACGGUCCAGUUUCUGCAGAAGGAGCCAAAGCAGAGGAGAUGAAGUUCAUCCUGGUUUUAUGCCAACUUUCUUGCAGCAGUGGGAGUACAGACAACACCUGACUCAGCAGAAAGCCCUACGCUAUAAUCUAUCAAAAAAUUUUCAAAUAAAUCUGAAUUACAAGAGUGGGUUUAUAUUGAA
Molecule: long non-coding RNA, 320 nt
Organism: Chiroxiphia lanceolata (lance-tailed manakin)
Lineage: Eukaryota; Metazoa; Chordata; Aves; Passeriformes; Pipridae
Exons: 2
Source: RefSeq, a predicted model, not a curated record